RNAcentral lists this ribosomal RNA (233 nucleotides) under Clostridioides difficile. RNAcentral describes it as "partial 23S ribosomal RNA". It matches the Rfam family "Bacterial large subunit ribosomal RNA", at positions 556 to 788 of the family's 2925-position model. The record is from RNAcentral. Lineage: Bacteria; Bacillati; Bacillota; Clostridia; Peptostreptococcales; Peptostreptococcaceae.
CCCUGCACUUACAAGCUGUGGAAGCACAUUUCUUGUGUGACCGCGUACUUUUUGUAGAACGGGCCAACGAGUUACGUUAAGUAGCAAGGUUAAGCACUUAAGGUGCGGAGCCGUAGCGAAAGCGAGUUUUAACUGAGCGUUCAGUUACUUGACGUAGACCCGAAACCGGGCGACCUACCCAUGAGCAGGAUGAAGCGAAAGUAAAAUUUCGUGGAGGUCCGAACCCACGAGCG